Molecule: long non-coding RNA, 743 nt
Organism: Oryzias melastigma (Indian medaka)
Lineage: Eukaryota; Metazoa; Chordata; Actinopteri; Beloniformes; Adrianichthyidae
Exons: 2
Source: RefSeq, a predicted model, not a curated record
AGUGACACUGCAGCCACACAACGGAUGUAUGUUGGCGCUGUGGAAUAUAACACAACCUCAGAGACACAACAGAGUCACACUGACCAACAAAAAGAAAGUCCGAAUCUGAGCUGCAGACAACCCGUUUGUUGUAAAGAGCUCCUGAAAAGACAUUUCCCGAGGACUGCACGCAGACCUGUCCAAUGAGGAGACGCGGUGCGCACGCGCCCAGAGAGAGGCGGGAGUGGAGGCCGCGUGCUCCACUAACCUACUUACCAUAAUCUCCCAGUUCUCCUCAUUUCAUAACUGUGCCUAAGUUACAUGAUACACUCGUCAUCUUGCCCACGCUUGCAAAUCAAUUAUUUUCAUCAGACCCGUUAUCAAUAAGAUUGGCCUUUUGGGAGAUUGCCGCGUGCCAGCUGGAUUGGACUGCUCUGCUUUCUGCGCACGAGCGCAGUUUAGAGCGCGCGCGGGACUGAUGGAUGGACAGACUUUGUACCGCUCUCUGUUUUUUUUAUUUUUUUUGUGACUAAAACACAUACAAACACAACAUUCUAGUCUUUAAAUGAUGUGACAAAAGGAAAAUAAAAAUCAAAAGCAGCUUGAAGAUUAGAGUUUGUUAAUCCUGUGAUUCAAUCAGAGCUCCUGAUCCGCGAGAAGCCGAAUGAAAAGUGAGACGUGACUAUGGAUUCACGUCACAAACAUCAGAUUCCUAUUAUUUAGAAUACAUUUUUAAAAUAAAUAAGCGUCUUUUUCCAAAUCAA